RNAcentral lists this ribosomal RNA (66 nucleotides) under Hovorkonema variegatum. RNAcentral describes it as "partial 28S ribosomal RNA". It matches the Rfam family "Eukaryotic large subunit ribosomal RNA", at positions 1 to 68 of the family's 3401-position model. Lineage: Eukaryota; Metazoa; Nematoda; Chromadorea; Rhabditida; Syngamidae. RNAcentral also lists the same sequence under 1 other name. The record is from RNAcentral.
ACCUGAGCUCAGGCGUGACUACCCGCUGAACUUAAGCAUAUCAUUUAGCGGAGGAAAAGAAACUAA